Molecule: long non-coding RNA, 27578 nt
Organism: Numida meleagris (helmeted guineafowl)
Lineage: Eukaryota; Metazoa; Chordata; Aves; Galliformes; Numididae
Exons: 31
Source: RefSeq, a predicted model, not a curated record
AGUGGAGGCAAGGGGAUCUCACUGGAGAUCCCUGCCUACCUGAGGCCUUCUGAAGAUGAGAACUUGACAGCUGCUGCCUCAAGACAGUGUAUGUGUACAUUCUGUCCUUAUGUGGUGCUCAAAAGUUUAUCCAAAACACUACUACUACCAAGAAGGCUUCCUCCAGCUUUGGUUCAUAGAAGUGCCUGAGUCCCAAGGGGCAGAUCCACAAUGUGUAUGAACAAGUAAUAUGGAUACAGCAACAGCUUCCAGGCAGACGGAGUGUCAGCUAAUGUGGAAAGAGAUGUUACCAGUGUGAUUAGUUGGUGUGAUUUCUGUUAUCAGCUGUUAUUUCAGCAAUGGCUUUGCUGGAUCCAGUGACACUUCAGUUUGCUCCUUCAGGAAGUGCUGGCUGAAUAGAGCAAGAAGUGUGACCCAACAGCAGCUAGAAUAAGAGAUGCAAUCAACCAAAGUCAUUUAAAAGUGUAACUACUAUGCUUGACAUCAGUAAUUGUGUUCCAGGCAGAGAUAUGCAAAAUGCUUGUAAUGAAGCUUCGAGCCAUGUGAAAACAGAGCAACAAGAUACUGCAUGUAGCAGAGAGUGACUCCUGCUUCAAGUAGAAGAAGAGAGGGCAUCCUCCUGGGUUAUGUAGACCUGUCCUUGUAUUUUAGGAAGCUAUUCAUCAGACUUGGGUCUCGUAUGCUCAGAGAACCCAAAGGAAGCAAGUUACUACUGCCAUGUGCUCUGUUUGAGACUGAAGUUACACCUCAGCAGCUCUGGUUCAAAUGCAGCCUUGCAGCACUGUGAUUCUCCCUUUCUUUUUUCCACAUGGCUGCUUGGUUUGCAGAGGAUGCCUCCUUACAGAUGUGUUCCUUCCCGACAAACAAUUACCCCUGUUCCCCUCUGCAGGAGGCCAUUAGGACAUCAUCACGGGUUCUGCUAAGUCAUCUCACAAUCACAGUUCUGUGCAGUCGUCUCUCAUCUGAGUCUAUCGAGGCAUAUGCCAUGCGGGGAAACUAGCAGUCACAAAACGCAGCACCUCCAGGCAUAUUAUUUGUUAUUUUGGUCCAGGAGUGUGACAGAUAAUGGUUACUGUGUGAAGGUCUCACUGACGGCAAUGGCUGGCAUCAUAUGCAGAAAAUGUAGAAAAGACAGAAUGGGUGAUCACGUCCCCACUUAAAGAGCAACAGAAGGAACAAUUUUGUAUUUUCACUGCAGUUAUAAGCACUAAAAAGAGAGACCAAAAAGGUAAUGUUUGGGGAAUUAUUCCACUGAAUAGACCCACAAAGCUAAAUUUACGUUGCAUCUGUUCUUUAUUACUUAUUGUUUAUGAGCUGUGUGUACAAAGAGCAAACGUGUCAAUAGUUUGCUUCAUAUUUAGCCUGGUUAUCAUAAUGGAGCUAAGCAUCUAACAUGAUUUUACUAACGAAAUACCAUAAAGCUAUAGGUAUUUGUAAGCUUGCAAUGCGCUGAUUAUUAGGAGAUGCUUACUCCCUAAAAUCCAGAUGUAGCAGGUGGAUCCUCCCAUGCUAAACUGACAACAGCGGAGGGCUCCAUUACAGAUACACUGCUUGAGAACAUGUUCACACUUUUCCCCUAGCUGUUCACACACUUCUCUUGCUGAAAAAAUCCUUAAUUAAAUGGUACGAUUUUGAGGAUUGUGUUAGACAACAAAAUAAAUGCACCCCAAACUGAGUUAUUUUCUUGAUAGUAGGAAGCCAGCUGUUUUGUGGUAGACUUUCAGUCUGCAUAAAUGUUACAAACUACUGAAUUACUAAAAGGCCCCUUGAUAUAUGAUCUCAUGUUGUUUAAUAGGCCUCCGAUUACUUUGGGGAAAAAUGGAUUUUAUUGUGUUAAUCAUAUGAAAACGAAGUUACUAAUCCCUAUCUAAUUAUGAGAGGUUUUUAAACUUGUAAUAAUAUCCUAAUUAUUUCCUCUUAUUGGAGCAAGUUGCAUUCUAAAGGUAAUCCUCAAGAAAGAAUAUGAAAAACCAUCCAAUGAAAUAGCUUGGUUUUUAUUUAUAUGGGUUUUGAAGCAUCUUUUGUUGUUAUUCUUUCAAACCUUAUCAAUGGACAACGUUUGGCACUGCACCUCUAACAAAUUCCUCUCCUUCCUCAACAGCAGUCUGAUCAGAAGCUUAAUGCAGAUUCUAUACAACAUGUAUAUAGUGAUAUUAAAUCAAGUGAGUGUAGACUCACCGCAAUCAACAUGAAAUCAAACACAGAACGAUGCGAUUUAAGGUUCUGUGGUUGCUGACAAGCGGAAGAUGAGGUGGAUUUAGGAAGAGAAUCAUACAAUUAUCUGAAAUAUGUUCAGAGUUGACAAGCUCUAAAAUCAGGACACAUCCAGAGCUGCAGGCUGGGUGAGAUACUGCAGGAUGGAUUAAGAACUAUCAAAUGCUGUAAGAGAAAGAGCCUGAAUUAAGAGCCAAAUGAAGUAUUGUCCAGAGCCAUGAAAACAGGUUUGGCAGCUGUAUAGCAGUCAACUGCACACACAGGGAUAAUAGCGUCAACAGGACGGCCUUUUGUGAGGACCUGAAGGCCCUUAAGGUCUGCUUUCAGUCUGUUACUAAACACCAAGGGUUAUAUUCUUCUCCUAAUGUGACAUCUGGGGCAGAGAUUUCAAAGCAAGCAGCCCAUGACAACUACCUGACAAUGCAGGAUGAAUAGAAGACACCGGGAAACUCAAAAAAUCUCAAACGUUUGGGACCGAACAGUGCAAAAGACAAGUUAUGUGUUAGCUACAUCUAGGAUCUGAAAGGCAUUUGGGAGCUAGAAAGGUACCUGAAAUCCAAUGGUAUAAGAAGAAUUACUGAGCUCUCAGCAUUGGUCCUGUCUCAGGCAAAAUAUAAGGAAAGAACAGCAAAAAGGAAUAUGACAAAGAUGACAUCUUGGCAAACUCACUGAACUUAUUAUCAUCUACAGUGAGGAAAAAAAAGGAAUAUCAACCAAACAUAACUUUUGGUCAUUCUUUAUUCCUCUUUUUCCUAAUUCUGAGGCCAUGGCUAAAUCUGACUUUGUAUUUUUCUUUUCAAUGCAUGGAAAGGGUAUAUCAUCCUAUCUGUUAACUUACUGCCUCUUUUCCAAGUUCCUUCUAUCUGUAAGAUAAGUGAUAGCAGUCAUACAUCCCUGAAAUGAACCCUGACACCUUUCUAUAACCAGUAUUAUUUGUAAUGCGUCUUCCAGCCUCCCCAUCCUAAAUCAUACUACUGUCUGCUCACGUUUUAUUUUAUGGUAUUAAAUUCAGAGUGUUUGGCCCUCACUUUUAAGGCCUUACUGUAAGUUCCUUUAUGGAUGUUCAUGUAGAUCCCUUUUUUACCAUGCCACAAGGAUAAUCACAUGGUGCAAUUAGUGCACUAAUGUGAGGAUAGAAGUUAAUAUUGUUUUACUGUGGUCUCAUUUACAAGUAAAAUGUUAUCCAAAGUGCUAUGCAAUGACCUCUUCUGCUGUUGUCCAAGGAGUAGUGCUCCAAUUCAAAUCCUCAGCAGGGAGCACGCCCUCACUCUACCUAGGGGAAAAGCAUCUGCUCUUAGAAAUCUAGGAUCGUAGAAGUCUAGGAUUUAGGCUACGAGAGUGAGGAACAACUACUAAGGGAUCUCAGUGACAGGGAAGACAAGGAGAAGAGACAGAUAACAAUAUGUGCAGAUCUUCGCACAUAAUUUCACAUGGUAGAACACACUGAACGCGGUGUUGCUAAGUGUGCAGGAUUAUCGUGCAGCAGCCAUGAGGAAGAUCUCCUUGCUUCUCAGUUUGGAAAGGCCUUCACAUUUCCAACUUCAUUCUGUAAUGAUGUCCAGCUGUGAAUUUAAGUUGCAUAUUUUAUGAAAGUAUUGACUUUAAACAGACAGCAUAAACAGUGACGUGUACCAAAACUUCAGUUGUUUGAAUCUUAUCAGUGUAUGUUACUCAGCUAGCAAGCACUGCACAUCAGAAAACAAUUUCCACUGAUCUGUUGCAUUUAGAGUAUUCACAGUUUUUGUUGAGUUCAUCCUGUCUGUAGUCUAACUUUCUGUAGCACAAAAUUUACAUGGUGUGUAGACACUUCAAAAAUAACAACUAAAUUUGUUUUGGUUUUGUUUUAUUUAAAAGCUAUUUCAAAUUGCCCAGGCAUAUUUUUGUCCCAUAUCACCAGCAGGACUCUUAAGCUCAGAAUAUAUUAUUGGUUUCUUGAUGUGUUAUGUGUUAUCUGACAUCUGCUUUCUUUGUCAUGCCAAAUCCUCCAAGCAAUAUCUUGAAAGACCUGAAAGAUAUUUUAAGUAGUAAACAUCUUCUGGCAACAAUACUUAAUUUCAUCACUACUCUUAAAAAUUUUGUCUGCAUGUUAAUUGCCUUCUGAGUUUCCAUACGGUCUCUCCAUUGGUAUUUAGGAUUUUUUUUUCUCUUUUUACUAGGCACAUAAUGUAGCUGAUGCCAUAACUUUUAGGAAGAUAGUUAUAAAAAGAUAAUAAUCUUUUGAUUUCCUCUCCCUUAUUUCCUUCAGGCCAACCUCCUGAACAGAAGAAAAACUAAAUUGUUGAUGCAUGAGAAAACAAAUACAGUGCUUUUAUAUGUACUGUAGUUUGCAUUUUUCUCUAUAGCGCUUUCUUAAAAAUGUUAUUGCAGUUAUCCUAAUUACAUAGUUGCUGCCUGACCAUCAAAAAAAAAAAAAAAGAAUUCAACAAAAAAAACCUUCAGCGAUUCUCUAAAGACUGCAUUGGACUGUGAUGUUAUUUUGUCUAGCUUUGACCUUAACCUGGGACUGAAGGUUAUCUAAAGGCAGAAGGAGACUCAGUGCUGUCUGCUCUGAAUUUCCAGCAGUAAUAAACUUUAGUUCAGUAAUAAACUUUUUCUGCUAACGUUUUAAGAUUUUCUCCAGAGCCUGCCUGAAUGUCAGUCCGGUAUCUCCGUCUUCCCAUUCACAAACUGUGUUAGUCACUGGAUUUGAGAUCUGCAGAUGCUAUGUGCCUGUAAAAGUUACCAAACAUCCUGGUCCUUGUGUUCAUUUCAGUACUAAAAGGAUCUUCUACCACCCUUUGCUUGUGAGCACUCAACUAUACAAGCCUGAAGGGAAGCACAAAGAAAAAGAAACCCUUUUCUCCUUCUCAGUACUACAAUUCUUUUCCUGCCUGUAUGGAUUUAAGGCUCACAGGCACAGAUAUAUCACAUAGCCCUGGAGUCCUUCUCACACCAGGGCAGAAAAGUAUAGAUGCCUUGAAUGGAGGACCUCUUUCAGCCCUCUGUAAGCAGUCCUGCUGCUGGGCCAGCUGUACAAAAAAGUCCAAGUCAGUGAAAAUGAGAUGGCUGAUUUGCUUGCUUGUCUGUUGUUUCAGCUUCCUGGAAGAUCCUGGAUUGCAUCAGACACCAGCAUGUUUCUGUAAAGGAUUUACUUUUAGCAUAUCACAGAAAAGGAAAGGGUUAAAAAUAAAUAUCUGGAUGUAGCUAUGUGAUCUUUGAGGAAGAACCAAGAGAGCUGGAGUGCUUUAGGACAACCAGGAGCUGUGGAGAUAUGAAGGAUAGGAGCAAAUGUGAGAUGUUUUCACUCUGUCUGUCAGCUGGGCACACUAGUGAGCUCAAUGCCAUGCUAAAAUGACUGGUUUUCAGUCUGCUCAGAGCAUGAGCAGAAUGUGGUCUACUCCAAAAAUACCCUACAGACACACCUUGCAGUCUGAGAAGAAGCCAAAAAUCCAUUCUUAUGAAUUACACUUUGAUAUUUUCCCUUUCAAGUCGCCAAGAGUUCAAAGAACUCCAGAAUCCAUGCAUGAGUUUCUUCCAGAAUAUCAUUUUUAAUUUCUCUGGAUUUCUACAUUGCUUUAUCAAAAAAUAGCCAUGAAAUAGGGAAAGAGGGGGAAGUAGGAAUUUCAGGAAGGAGUGGUACACCCACGAAAAACAUAGAGGAAAAGUAUAUGUAAAGCUGAAUACCCCACUUCAUAGUGCAAGCGGAUUUCCAAGCUAAUGGACAAAACGUGCCCUGCUGUCCCUUCAGGGGAAUUAUAGGCUGCAAAGCAAAAACGGGAUGUGUGCGCUGGAAUCUGGGGUGGUGAGAAAAGAGAGAGGUGCCUUGUUUAAUCAACAUACGCUAGAAGUGUGAAAGCUGCAUUAAUUUGGUGUCUAAGUCUUAUCCACCUCUCCAUUUCACAAAUUGUCUCUUUCAUAUGGAUAUAGAGUUGACCUUGCAGGCUUUUAGGCUUCAAGUGGACAGGGUCACUCAGGGCCCAAGCCACUGCUCAACCUCCCCCACACAUACCCCAGUUAUAUCUUUUUACUAUCUCUGCUGGACACCGCACCUUUCUGUAAUUAUAAAUGUCUGCUUUCUGUCACUUCAAAGGUUUCCCAGCACUGGGAGUCCUUCUUCAAAGACUUUACAUCGCUGAAGAACCUCUGUCAUUGACAGGAGGUCCGUCUUUGAAGUUUUUCAUGCCAUUUAUUGAUUUCCCCUUUUUAGGAUGUUCAUAUUAGAAAAUAGUUCACCGUGUUUGAAAAUCUGUAUAUUUUUAUGUUGUUGAGGGGCUACCUCUUUGAAGAAACAACACUAUUGCUGCAGUGCCUCCGUAUGAAGAAAUCUGAUAGUGUAUCUGCAGUAUGCUGUGUUCCUUCAAGCUCUCAUUUUUAGAAAAUUCCUCUCUCUGUUUCUUUUCUACUUGUAGGUGUUGUCUAGGUACUUAGGUAAUGCAGCUUCACACAGACUUUUGUGAACAGACCUAAUUUAGGUCCUAUUGAUGCACUUAAAAAUUUUCAUAUGCUUAAUAACCUACUGAAUUAGCAAAGAAAAAUUGAAAAUAAUAACUUUAGUUUGAGCAAAUGAAAAGAAUGUAUGCAUAAUUAAGUGGCAACUCUGGAAAUGUCUCCAAAAAUUAAGCAAGUUUGGACAUUUCAAAGGGGAGAUGCCUCAAACCAGUCACUGCUUUGUUCAUGUCAACCUUUGACACUGUGAAGGGUUCCAAGGACUUGUCUUCUGAACAUGUUUACCUUGUGAGGUGGCUUCCUGGUAAGUUCACAUUGCUCAUAUAUUCUUAAAAGGAAACUUUUGACCUUGGUUUACUUCAAAGAUCUAAUAGCUUCUCUUGCUUCCCUUCCACCCUCAUCCCCCAUUUAGUCAUCUCUCCUUUCUUUGCACAUAGGUCAAUACAGGCCUUUGGUUCUAAAUGAUCAAAAGUUAUGGAGUAUUGUCUUAUUGUUUGUAUGCCCUAAAAUAUCAUUGUCUGUUCUGAUCCAUUGCAAAACAAUGAAAAAGAACUGCUUGGAAUAUGUAUGUGAGUGACAUCAUGAAAUGUUCUUGAAUAGAUGUAAUGUGUUUUAGAACAGAAAAGCAUUUUCCCCUAGUGAUGUGUUUGACUUCAGGCACACUUAACGGGUGUCUUCCACUGUGUCACUGGAAACUACUGCAGCAGUCAAUUGUAUCUGAGAAGAACAUGACUUGAAAAGGCAUAAUUCAUACAACACCUGGGCAAACAGCCAAUUUCUUUCCCCACAAAGUUUUAACUGAUUCAUUUAAAACUUGGCUGGGGCAAAACCUCUGAGAAAAUCGACUGAUAUGGCAGGUGGCACAGAGUGCCCAGGUACAUGCAUGCCAUGAAGAUAAUCCAAAAUCAAAAAUGAGCCUGAAUAAAUCCCUGAAGUUAAUGUAUUUAUACUGUGGCAAAUAUGAUCCAAGGCUGCAUUCUGUGGCUGUGAAAGUGUAUGGGUAAAUUAAAAAUCCAGAUCUUCUGCUGGAGACAGGUAAUCUACAGAAGGAAGCCCAUAUCAUUGUGUUACUAGGAUAAGAACAUUCUGUUUAAGAAGCCAAUGUUGCUUAGGCUAAAAGAAAAAUUAUCUUUUAUAGAUGUCACACCAAGAGAAUAUCCUGACUUCCUGCUCAGAGACAGCGACGUAAAAGACAAGCCAUGUUCUGGAUGGCAGUGCACAGCUGUCAGACCACAAAAUGAAGAGUGUCUCGAUCAGCUUGUCCACAUUAAUUGGCUAAUAAUGGUGACUAUGUUGAAAAAUACUGUUUUGUAGCUGAGGAUUUGCUCUAUCUGUUGUAAUUUCCAUGGAAAUAAAUGGGAGGCAUUAUUUUUGGAGCAUCCUACAUAUAUGAUAAGGUCUUUGGUCCUUUCAUGUCUCCAUCUGCAGCCAAAGGGACUCUUUCUGCUUGUAUUCAUUUUCUGGGCUUGUGUAGUGCAGAAAUAUUUGUUUCUGCUGGAUGAAAAGGAAAUGACUGUUUCUCUGUCAUCAGUCUUUUUAAAAGCUUUGAUGACGACAGUUUUUAGCAAAGAAAUUUAUGAAAAUGAGAUUAACAUAUUGUUCUUUCUGGUGAGUUGUCACUGACAUUCCUAUAAAAUUAAGGAAAGGAAGGUACAAAAGUUUGAGGUAUAUAUUUAUCCCAUAAGUUUACAGUUUGCAUAGAAUAAUUAUAUAAUGAAAGGUUGUUUGUAGUGUUUUCUUCUGUGCAUCGUUAAUGUGAUACUUUUUUCCUUGUCACUAGAUUUAAACUGUAGCAUUGUAAGACAAACAUCCUCCUUCAACUACUUCCAUUAUACUGCAUACUAUUAUGAAAUGAAAGGGAUAUGUUGUGCUUUAUCUCUUUAUAUAUUAUAAAAAUAAUGAAGAGGAUAAUUAUCAAGGCUGUAGUGCAAUUUCAUGGCAUUGCUGUCAGUUACAAACUGCUUGAGCUGCAUUCCUUUGGUAUAAAAUGUCAAGAAAACCCCAUGAUUGAAAUACAGUCAUCUAAUUAAUUUCUCUCUAUUAUUAGUUUAAUGGGUUGUGUCUGUGCAGAACACUCACUGGUGGUUAAUAGAGAAUGAAAUGUAGACAGUCCAGUUCUAGCUUUUAAGUUCUAAGUAUCUUUUCAUGCUCAACCUUUCAUUGUGCCAAUAAACACAAAUUAGCAGACUUUCAAAAAGCUGAAACUUUUAAGUCUGGUAUUCUGUGCACAGCCUUUGCUGAGUGUCUAUUUUAUCAGAUCUCUUUCCACUAAUUCAAUUCAAAGCUGAGUGUUUAUAUUUGAAGACUUACUGGUAUUGCCAGUUUCUUGGUGUGCAUCAAUUCUACUACAGCCAUAGGGUACCAUGUUCCCUGAACCUCUGCCUUCACACACUGCUGGACCUUAACAUUUGUUUCUUUGUAUAAUUCCUCCCUCCAGAUUUUACAUUGGGUUUUUAUACGCCAAUAGUAACCUUGCUGUUUGUGGGAUAAGCAGCCACUUUCCUUAUUUUUAGUUCUGGAAAUUGCAUUAGUAAAAAUGCCAAGAGAGAUCUACAUCCAAACUGAUCAUGUUCAAAUUAAUAACAUUAAAAUGAGGCCAUUUAUAUGGUAUUAUAUGGUAGUGGGUGAUAGCUAGCUUGUCUGAAGGUGGGCAAAGAACUAAGAGCAGGGGAAGAGCACAAGCAGGAGCUGAAAAAAGGCCUAGUCUUAUGUGGAGGGAGAAAUCUGGAAGAUAAGUACAGCCCUGUAAUUACUCUGUGACUGCCAUUUGUAGCCAGCGUCUGAGUUAGAAUUCAGCUGUGCUGCAUGAAGAUGCGCGAGAUCCCUCUGAGUCCCACAAGCCCAGCAACUCACCAAAGCUGAAGCUUACUUAUUUUGGCACUGGCAUUAUAAUUUUCACUAUCUCCUUUAAGAAAUGUGAAACUUCCUCUUUUCACAAAUAACAGAGAUUGCCGUAAAUUUUAACAAAAAAAAUUGUAAAUCCCUCUCCCUUUUUUUGUUCUCUUUCUCAGUCUCGCUGGGUGCCAUGACACUAGAGUUUUCAUAGCAAGAGCAUUACAAUAUCUCGUAUUAUCACAGUCUCAAGCAUCUUGUGUUAUCCUGUGGGAGACCUGUUCAUAUAGCGGAGAUCUGCUUUAUACAAUGGUAUCUGAGCUGCAGAGGAAUUAGAUAACUUGCCCAAAACAUGGAAAAAGUCUGAGGCAAAACAGUGUCCUUAGAUCACAAGUCAGAGCUCUAACACCUGCAUGGUCCUUUCUGCUGACAUAUUGAUACUUCAAAACCCAGAACAUUUGGGGCGAAAUCAUGGUCCAUUUGGACCUCAUGGUAGUUUCUAGAGAAACUUAGAGGAGGCCAGGAUUUUACAAUUGGUGUAACAGUACUGGUUAAUGCAAUUCUGGAAAAUUGUCUGGUCCCCUGCUUUUAUCUUUUGUCUUAACUAAUGCUAUCAAAAUGUUCUAGCAAAAUCUUUCUUUUUAUAGAGGGGAAAAAGUCCACUCAACUAAGUGAAAAUCUGGAAAUCUUCAGCGUAAAAGUUCAUGUUUAAAAUCUAUGGCACCCUUCCCCAGUUUUACCCUGGACCAGAAGUUCUUACUAAACUUUUUGCCAUUCUGCUUUUCUUCUUUUUAAGGGAAAGCAUAGUUUUUCAGAAUUCCCUGCAAAUGUUCAUUAGUGUUGACAAGUUCUGCUUUCCACACAUGACACUGCCUCCUGCAGGCUAAGAUAUAAGUGCUCAAUAUAAUUAUGGCAGUCCAUAAAUAAUGAAUAUACCUAUCAAGGCUUUGCAGGAUUGCUUGUGACGUGAACAUAAAAUGUUCUGAGAAUAGGAGAGGCAAUUGCUUGAUAUCAGCUGUUUAAUUCUCUAAUUUAUAAAGAGAGAGUUAAGCUUUGGUUUGGGCCAUAGAAGACAGUUGUUAACACUGCAGGUUUGUGGCUGAGUGGGCUUCCCUCCACUUUGGGACAGACAUUUGUGCAAAGAAAUAAAAUGUUUUUGGUCAUCCAGUGCUACUGCUGCUGUGCUGCGAAUCCUCUGAGUUCUCUUGAAAUCAUUGGGUUAGCCGGCUGUGUACCUAAAAUGGUUGGCAGCGUGGCAGGGAGCUGCUGCCAGGUAUUCCUGGUACAUUUGGCAGCUCAAAUGAGGAAUGAGUUAAUAUCUUUUUCCAGGACUCAGUGUUGCAUUUAAGCAGAACCCUGCGCUGGUGGGAGCCGCAUCCCUUCAGUCGUAUUGCCUCAAGGAAUCAUGCCUCAAAAUUCAGAAGCCUUACUAGGGGUCCUGGCAGCCUGGAGAAGUCCUCCCUUUGCUGCACCACUUCAGGCAAUGAAAAAUCUUUCUGUUUGUAUAGGCAGCCAGUUCUGAUGGCCAAAACUUUGGGUUUAUUUCAGCCACGGUCCUGCUUUUCGUUCACCUCAUCUGUUCUUCUGUAUUUGUGUGCUGUAGAAUAAGGGCAUAGCAAAGAACCUUGUUGUCUCCUUAAUAAAUAAUGAAUCUGCGGGACAUCUGGACAUCAGCUGAUCUUUAAUUUGGACUGUUCACAGAAUUGUGAGCAGUAUAAGCUGUCAAAGGAAAGAAUGUAAUUUUACAAGGUCAUUUGCUUCUUAGGUCCAUAAAUGAACACAGCAGUGUAUACAAGAAUUCAUUUUAUUUCACAAGUAGUCCAUUUAGUCCAAUAACUGGAACCAGAAGCACCUGCUACAACCAACCUCUACAAUCACUGGCCACAGGAUAAUCUAUUCUGAGAGAAUGUUUUUUCUCUAAUGUUUAAGAGACAAAACCUGGAUUCCUCUAUGAACUUGAAGGCUCAUCUCUUUCUCAGACCUCAUACUGACACAAUCUAGGUAUAUCUUCAAGUUGCAUCUGUCAAGUUCAGUAGCCGUUUCAAAAUAGAUGAGUGUGUGUGGCUAGGACCACCCGAUUUUCCAAAGGCUGAGUGUUUGUUUUGGUUAAACAAGUGAAUGUCUGGAGUCAUGCUGUUUCAGUUGCUUGAGUUACUUCUUUGACAGUGAUGAUGUGGAGGAACACUGGUGCUCAAAGACACUGCUUACUUUUGAAUGAUGAAGAAGAAAAUCUCUUUAUUACAAUAGAGAGGUCUUAAAACCUUCUAAAUCUUAGGCAGGAAGCUGGGUUUAAGAAAGAAACCCAAACAGUAAAAGAGCCUAGCUUGUAAGUAAAGAUUGUGUUAGGGUCUGUCUGGAGAGUGCAGUUGGAAAUUCAUUGUAAGUCUAUCAUAAAAUAAAUCCUGAAAUCUGAGAGGUUAUAUGGAAUGAUUCCCUGAUCUGAGCAUGAUGUGAUGUUUGCAAAUGACUGUUUUGUGUAUUGUGCUUUGCCAAGCUCAUUUUGUAUGAUCUUCAGUGUGUUACAGGCUUGAAGUGCUUGGUCAUUAUUUUUAUCUCAGGGAGUCUGUUGAUUUUAUGAUCUGCAUUCCCCUUAUGAACUCUCCAAGUCUAAUUUCUUUGCUUACCUUCAACUGAGGCAUUUCAUAGUUAUACAAAUAUGUGUUUAUCUCUUUCUCUGCUUGAGGCUGUUCUAAACUGCCAGGAUCUCAUGAAGGACUAAUUUCAGUAAUGUGUAACACUCUGAAUGCAUCUGCAAAGGUGGCAAGGGAUAGAACACAGAAAGCACUCCGUAAUGCUUUGGAAAUAGAGUAGCAGUGAAGAACAGUGGCAAUAAUGUCAAAAACAAACAAACAAAUAAAUAUCGUCAUAGCAAAAAUAUCUCUGACAAAUUCAAUAUAAAUUUUACAUACAGGCUCACUGUUCCCCUGGCAUAAAAAGCUGCCUAUUUUCAGGACUUGCUCUGCAUAUGUAAUUUAUAACAAAAGUCACUGCCUAAAUAGCUCUCCUGGGCCUAUUUCAUUUUCUUUUGAUCUCAGCUUGCACAGUGAUCACCUCUGUGGAUCCACUUUGCAGUUGUCCAUUUCAUUUAUUUUGCUUUACUGUUUUCCAGAAAUCAAGGACUUUUAAUUUCAGGUGCCAUUAAAUGUGUUUCCUUGAGCUCACCAUCUGGUGGUUGGUUUUCCUGCCCUUGUCUUCAUGAAAAGAUAGUUUGUCAAGAACGAAAAUAAAAAGCAAGAAUUUGAUGGGUUGUGGGUAGCUUUUGUGGAAUCUCCUGGUGAACAACUGGGGAGACAGCCGAUCUGGUUUUAUUUACGUUCUUUUGGAACUAUCUCUAAGCAUCAUUUAGUUCUCUUACUUAUUUUUGGGGACCGGUUUAGACAAGUAAAUAAUCCUCUGGCCUCAGUGAGGCAAUUAAAAUGAGUGGGUAAUAUUUGGCUUCAGAUUACUACGUGCUGGCUUGGUUUAAAAACUAAGUAUUUCUAGCUGGUUUUCUCUGUCUUCCAUACGUACUUUGUAAUAGUGCUCAACAAAUAGCAAAGAAUUAAAACAGUAAAAAUAGAAAAUGCUGUCGCUUACUCUUGAUGCACCAAAAGGGGCUAUGGACUUAUUUACUGUGUAAAACCAAAGUUGAUACCUUUCUCUACCCUUGAACCUUUACUCCUUUAUAUUUUUGUUAUAUUUUGUUAUCUGUGAAGCAGUGGUGAAUAGAACUGCUAUAGUCUCUAAUGUUUGUAACCUACAUUUUUGAUGUGCAUUUUAAAUGGAUAUAUGUACAUUAAUGCAUACGGGGGAAAAAAAGAAGAAGCAAUUUAAAACAUAAAGUAUUCUAAAUUCCUGGCACAGUUUGAGUACAGAGGUUUGUAUGUAUAUAAGGAAGGAGGAGGGUCACCACACCGAUUUCAUUUUAAAAUUCUUUGUCUGUCCAAAAAGAAAUGAGAAUGAUCCCAUACUAAAGCAACAGGAUAGUGAAAUUAUGCGAAUGCUUGAAACUUCAGCAUGCCUUCGUGCAAUAGUAAAUGCAAUAUCCAGAGCCUAUAUUCUCACUUUAAUGAUUAUGACAAUAAGAUCAAGAAAUCUGAUGUGAAACUUCCUCAUAAGAACUGACUGUAAGAGAACAUCUCUAGCUGUAGAAUAGCUGCAGUUGGGGAAGUAUGUCUCCCCAAGUUCAGUGCUGUUUUAAUACUAAACAUUUUUCUUCUCUCGCUGUAUCUUCUGUGCUGCUGUGCUAGAGUUCGUCUUAUUAAAUACAAAUAAAAUAAAAUUAGAUCCUUUAAAAUCAGGAAUAACUGCAAAACCGAAAUGUCGCUGUGUGGCUCUUAGCCAACCUAUUCGAAAUGAGAAAGGGACAUUUUAAAACUUCUUCUUAGCAUUUCCACUCUGAUUCCAAUCAAAAACUUGAAGACAGAAGAAUGUUGGGUUUGUUUUUUAUCCCAGAGGGUUUGAAACAUUUAAAAAACUGCAAGGCAUGAGUCUGGCAUUGCUGUAGUCCAGGUAAAACAGCAGGUGCUAUUGUAAUACAGUGAGAAGGUUUCAAUAAAUCUGAAACUGUUACAGCAGCAGUGGGGUACUUUCAACAUAAUUCUUAUUUCUUCUGGAGCAAUUUUGUGAUUUAAAGUAUUUAGAAAGUAACGGGCAGCGAGAAGCAAAAGUGGCGGUGUUUUCAGUUCUUAACUCAUAACCAUAAUUUAGUUCAAUUCAGGGAAGAACAGCUACAGUAGCACAUUAGAAACACAAGAUAAUAACAGAGACUUAGCUAAGAAUACAGAACAUCUUGUAUUUCUAAUUGCAUCCAUCUUCUAAAUGAACAGAAUCUCUAAUUGAGGAAAAACUUAUUAUGGGAAUCGCUAGCAACGAAAAGCUGUCUUAUGAGCAUUAAAUAGAAUAGAUGGUAUUUGUCACAAAUCAAAUUUGCUCUAUUAUUUUGGUAACCCAUCAGCAGAGCUUUCUGGAGGUACAGAUGUGUUGUAUUUUCUUCCACUAAGGAACUCUUCAAUAACAUUUCUCUAUGCAGAAUUCUGGGCAUACAAGAUGAUAAAAGUCAGUGUAAUUUUGUCAGUUUUCAACAGAUUGCAUACUUUUUUUUUUUUUUUCAAUAAAUUUGGCGCAGGUAAUGGCAAACAGCGUAUCUUGGAGUAAAUAAACUUCUAGAUCAAAGUUUCAUGAAUUAUUUGCAAAAUAGUACUAUGAGAAGGGGCUGAAUGCUUCAGGGCGACGAAUCUCUUUUGAGAAAUAGCAGACAACAACUUAGAUCUUAGCCAGUCAGUGUAGAGAUCAAUAAAACCCUAACAAAUAACAUCCCAUGACUAUUGAAAAUAUGUGCUGAACAAAGAUGCCAUUUAUUGUGAAAUAAAUCCCAAACAGGAUUUAUUUUUAUUCUGGUGAGACAAAGGGAAGGGAUGGAUGUAGAGACAACGCAACCUGUAUGAAAGCAGAAGCAGAAACAGAAAGAGUAUUAUUUAUUCCAUGCAAAUAUCUUGUAUCCUAUUUCACGAAGUAGAAAGAGAAUUUAAAAGAAAAAGGUAGAAAUUUGAACCUGCCUUUGCUGUACUCUGCAAUGGUGAUAGGCUUAGAGGAGAGUGGUAGGUAGGACAAGGUAUUGGGAUUCUCCUCCCAGUUUAGUAAAACCUAACACCAGCAUUUCCGUCCUUAAAAGGAUUUAAAAUGCUCUGUGGGGUCUGUCUGGGCACACUGGUCUCCAGUUUACUUGCCUUGCAUCAUGAAAAACUGCUCUAUCAGUGGUGUUUCUCAAUAUGUAGACUGGGCAAAUAUACCCCCAUCAAAUCAGCUAAUUAUACAAUAUGCUCAUCCAAUUUCAGCAUUUCACACUUUGCAAAAGAAUGGAACAGUCUCAUCCACCACGUCACCUUCUGUAUGCUACAGCUAUUAAAUCAACUUGGAUUCAAAUGUGUCUGAAAAGUUUUUAUAAAGGAAAAGCUUGUGAAAGGGGAGCUCGUUGACUGCCGUACAGCUGAAUCCUGCUUUCACAACAACUCUGUAUAUUCACUUCCUUCAGCAAAUCAGCAUGAACGCUGGGAGAGUCAGAACUUGCCUAUAAUUUGCUUUGCUCCUAUGGUCAGAGGGCGUGGUUAUUCCGGCAGCACAGAGCACGUCCUUACACAUGGAAAUGGAGCAGGGAGCACAGCUACUUCACAAUAGCUCCCCUUGUGGACAAAGUGUUUUGGAAUAAAGGAUACUUUAGACUGGAAUAAUUAGUGCACUGAUUAUUCUAGAACAGAAUAAGUGCACUAAUUAUUCCUACAGUGUCCACACAGGGACAAACAGAAGGCUAUUGAAGAACGGCUUAUUCUGCAACAGCUAUUUUGGUCCAUUUCCUCGUAUGGGCAAAUCCUACUGCUGUUGUCAGCAGGUAAUGAGUGUAUAGAUGGAGAACGUGGAAGGAUUGCAUUAAUGAUCUCAUCCCAUUAGUGCUGCUUUGUGCUUCACUUUUGUUCACUUAUGGAGUUAAUUGCUUAAAACCCCCUCUAAGGCAGGCACAUUUCUAAGCCUAACUUCCCAGUUCUUACACAGAGACCCUCCAAACUCUUCUGCAGGUGACCCACCCCCAGCCAGCUGAGUAAAGCACUGCAAGUACCUGACUGUUUAAGUAAAACUGUUGAUUUUCACUGGAACAUGUUUGUUUUCUUCCCCUAAAUGUGAAAGGUUGUACUGCAUUGAAGCCCUUUUAUACGUUUUCCUCAGGAUAACUUUGAAAAAUAAUUUUGUGCUGACUUGAAAAGUUCCUGGAAAAUUCACCUGUGUGAUUGUUGUUUCAAGAAGACUGAAGAUCCAUCCAUAUGGAGAGCUGAGGGAGCUACUGGGUGAAGGGUAAGGGAAGGGUCCAUUAAGUACUAGGCUAUAUUUCUCCUGUACGAUAACUUAAUGCUUGAUAUUCAGGAAGCACUUCUUAUCUUUAGUUCUAAGCUCAGUAUAUUUUCACCAAGGUCACAAAGCCAUAAGUACGGACACUAAUGUCACUGGCUUACUUGGCACAAACCCAGUUAAACUUAGUUCUGCAAGCGUGCAGCAGGUUGAGGAUUCAACCUACAGGUGGAGCACGGCAGUACAAAGUCUUUAGUGUAUCAACAGGCAAAUCUGAUAUGGGGGAAAAGUUUAACCAUUUAAAAGAAUGGAAGUUGCAAUCCAGAUGAGUAAGAAACAGAGGGGGUUGUGCUAUUGUGACAGGUCUGUUUGUAAUCUACUUAAAUGGGUUAAUGAUUGUUUCAUUACAAAAAGCUGCUUGUUAAGUACUAACUACUAUUAAGGUCUGUAAUAGAAAUGUCUGUUCCUCUAAACAAUGUGACUUUUAAAAGCAACUUUUCCUUAGUGAAUAAAUUUUUCAACUAGACUGACUACUGCAUUCCCACUUAAAAUCAAGUGCAUAACCUUCUUUUCCUAAGAGUGCAUCAUAAAGCUGUAAUUUAGGUGAUACCGGCUUGCAAACAUGAGUUAGCAAUGUACCCAAACUAUGACUUCAGUAGAACAAAUUGCAGUGCUUUCUCAUCAUAGGUAAAGGGCAGCCUCUCAAACAAGAUUAUAUUUAGAAAUCUGUUUUCAUAGAAGAGAGAUGGAAAUACUAAGAGUAUGGUUUUUUGUCUGCUUGUCCUUCCUCUGUUAUUGUGCAGUUCUGUUUCUCUUUCCUUUGUGCAGUAACAGUGGAACAGGAUGCAGAUGGGACCAUAACUAGAAUAAUUCUAAAAAAUACUCUUUGGGUGCCUAAUGCUGGAAAAAUACCUUAUUUCUCUUCACGUAAAGGCAGAGAAAUGAGCUGUUUCAUUCAACAGGAAUUCAGACAAUAGGAAACUUAUUAUUUUAUUACUCUGAUCAUCUGAAUAUAGCACAGCAAUACCACCGCAAUGUAACGUCUCAAGGGUACAUUGCCACUUUGUCAUUAAAAACCUAAGAUAUUAUGCAUGUUUGCAGCUGCAAAACUGCUCAAAGUUUGUCUAGUGACUCCCCAGCUGAAAUAACAUUCUGAAGUAACAUUCUGAAAUAUCGCAAACUCUUCGGUGAACUGUCUCCUUUGAUUUGCAAGGGUAAACAGAGAUCCAAACAACUGGGAGCUGGCUUGGAUUUUAUCCAGGCAACUUAGGGAACUGUCCUGAUCUUUUGUACUUUUCCUCCAAAUCUUUUAUGAGACUCAAAGAAUGAUCACCUUCUAUAUUUUUGGCCAUGAUACCUACUGAAACCCACUCUAGCCAUGUGUUUAGAUUUAGACUUUCCCUGAGUCCCUUUCCCUCACUGAGUUAUGAGAAUGAGUUUUGCAUUUCCCAGUGCACUCACUUUUAUCAGAAAUUUUAAAGGAUGGGAAUCCUCCCUGUGUUUAGGGCAGCACAGACAGUAAAGGGAGCUGGUUGUACUCUUCCCUUGUUGGAGUUUGCCAUGUGAUGCUUUGUGUCUUAAAGCCUACUGGAUGAUAUAACUUGAUCCAAGUAGUUAAAUUUAUUAUGUAGAAAACCCCUGCAAUUUAAGUGCAAAAAUAUUUAUACUUUUGUCCUCAUCUGGAAUAUUAAGAUCUCAGAACAGAGUAGAGGAUCUGACUAUGCAAUAUUCAUAGGUAUGAAGCUACCUUCACAUAUGCCAAGUAGUUGUGAAACCCUGCCAAGCAGUCACGGGAAUGUUUCCCUGCCCCACUCUCUUGGUACCAUUAUUAUACUAUCAGGCCUUAGGGUGCCUCAGACUCUUCCUCCAUCAUGCUGCUGAGCUCAGCAGCACUGUUUUGUUUUGCAUGAGUUUUAACUUGGAGAGAGGGAGGCUGAAGAAAAGAAACAAAAGUGACUUAGAGCAUCAUUAGCCUUGUGGGAAACAUCUUACCAAGGAGCUGUUAAUGAUCAAAAGAUCUUUACCUAACUAAUGAUCUGCUGAGUCUAGAACUACAGAAGAGAGAGGGGUUUCUCUUUACAAAACAGGUUUUUUUGUUUGAAGUGGUGAAAGUACUGGGUCUGCUGCUUUCCUGUGGGCAUUACAGUGGUGCCUUUCUUUGGAAUUUAUGUUUGUGCUACUUUCUGUUUUUUUCUUUUUUGCUUUCCAUUGGAGAUCAGUAUAGGCCUUUGCAGCUGAAUCUGGAUUAUCUCAAAGGAUUUACAUGUAAAUAUAUUGUUGACAGUGUUAAACAGCUCUUCUUCCUGAAGAAGAAAAAAUCUAUUCUGGAUUGAGCAGAGACAAAUGACAUUACACAGCUCAGGUAAUGUGAACCUGACCUUCUCAUCUAGCUUGGGUAACAGUCUCAGCAGUCCCUGAGUUGCUUGGAUUUACAAAUGUAAAGCUUAGUAGGGUCAGACAUUCAUAAAUGAUUAGCAUCAUGCCUUCACAGAGAUUCUCAAGAUCCUUGUGAACAACAGAUCUUGAAAUGUGCAUUCAUUAGUGACUGUCUGCUGCGGAUUUUCCAGGGAUUUAGAGCUGAACGCUACACGGUGCGGGAAGCAUGACAAUCUCAAUAUGACUACGCAAGCUUCAACUUUAAUGGAGUACUUCACAACAUAUAUAGAAACUGAGUUACACCUGGCAAACUGCCAUUGGUGGGGCUACCCCAGCCCCAUCCUCUGAUUGGUGAUGACAACUUGUUGAACAAACAAAGCCAAACAGCAACCACCCCCCCUGCGCCCAAGAGUUAACCUCCUGAUACUUCUGUCCUUGGACUCCGCCCCACCCAAGGACCCCUCGGCCCUGCUGACUGUCCACCCAGAUCUACUCCAUACACACACUCUGCAGUACUUCCUUGCUCGUACAGUCGCUCAAGUGAUCCGUGGCCACCCUAAUCCUGCAACAACUGUCAUCAUUCUACUUGAACAAAUGCAGACAUAUUUGAAUUGGCAGUUUUAUUUGUUGUUUUCUUUUUCAUAUGGCCUCAAUGGAUGUCAUUACCUGAGACCAGAAUUGAAACAAACAUUUUUCUUGAGUAUAAUAUUUUGUGUGAGAUAAUGAGAGUAGCUUGAACCCUUGCAGCCUUUGAAGUUUGCUGAAUGCUCUUCAGUUCAUCUUUCAGGAAAUUGGCAUGUCCUGUGGAAGCCUGAAUGGCACCAAGGUGAGUCAGGUCUGUGCAUGUCUCACAGUGCUGUGGGGGAGAGGAACUGGGGCUCCCGGCUCUUCCCCCUGGACCCCGCUGGUUGAAUUGCAAAUGAAGUACAGCCAGGAGGACCCACUGCAAACAUGGAGUUGAAAGAGUACAGGUGAGCAAGGGUCACCAACACAAACUUCUGUGGGCACAGGCAUGGGUUUUUACACACUUGGAGAGUGUGUGAGUUCCAUUUGAAUUUACCAUUGAGCAAGGUGAGACAGGAAGGCUGAGGAAACCUCACCCCACACAAAAUAGUGUGAAUCCUAGUGCUUUUCUUAAUUUCCCUAAUUCACAAUAUCUCUGUUUUGGAGUUAGCUUUGGGUUAUUUAAAUUCAUAGCUGUGGGUCAGAUCUGUGAAUGACUGUGCCUGUACUUUUAGGGUGGCACUUCUUGCUUGUUAUCUGAAGGGCCAAAUUCUGCUUUGAAUUGCACUGGCUUAGACUUAGAAGUAUUCUGCUGGAGUCAGCGCGCUCCCUUGAGAUUUACGCUGGUGCAAACGGGCUGAAGUCAGCUUGUAAAUAACUUAGAUUUGUGUGAUAUUUUCUGAGGAAUUCAAUGGUAUCAUAGUCUACAUGUACACUAAGAACCCAGGAGCCUGUCCUUGGCCACGUCCCAGCUCCUCACUGGAGCAAGACCUUGGCAUCCACUGGUCUUUCUCCCCUCCUUUUCCUUGGAAGGGAAAGCUGGGGAAUGUGUGCUGGACAGAGCUGAGGCACAGUUCGACAGCUGCUUGGUUUGAUGAAGGAACAGUGAAGACCUCAGGGCACACAAUGGCACACACUCAGAACUGCAAUCAUGAAAUGAAAGCUUGUGAUAAAGUUGUGUGUGCAGUAUAAGGCCUGUGGAGUGUAGAGAAGCUGGGCUGUUGUGUUUUCUUUUCAGCCUCUACAGCACACAGAAUGUGGACAUCAGGUCCACAAAACUGAAGAUGGAAGAGAGGGCUUUAGCCACUCAAGCUCUGCCCUUCCCUCCUGAGCUUUGCAGGGCAAUGAUAAUUUCUUGAUGACUGGUCAUUUUCUGCAGAAGAUUCCUCAUCGCUCACCUGCUGUCUCCUUACUUGGAGCGUGAGCAGUGCCUUUUGAUGUAACUGAGUCAGGAUGUAUAGUCUUAGUAUAAUUAUGGACAAAAGUUAGUAAACAGACAUUUAUAAAAUAAUGAAGUUGUUUAACUCUCGUAGAGUGGAGUUCUCGGUGUAUGCAUUAAAAUGUGUUUGUAGGUUUACUAAAUGGCCUUGGAGUGAGCUGACUUAUUGUACAGGUUCACAGAGCUUGCAGGAACAUGAAGAGAUCUUGCCAAGUUAUGGAAAAAGAAAAAUGGAAAUGUAAUGAUGAAGUACAAGGAAACAGUUUGGCUGUGAUGCAGCGUGAGGAUGCUCCACCUUGCUUGGAAAAUAAAGCGCUUCAGUCCCGCAAAGUUUCUUCAAAGAAACCCCCAGCCUGGAACUGGUGCGGCUCUGCAGAGGGAAACGCCGCACUGUACUUCAAAGCGGAGAAAAUCUGCAGCUGCCGGGAGCCCGCCUGCCCCAGGAGGUGUCACUGUUGGGACUGGCAGGGUGAGCUCCGGAGCUGCUGUUUGUUUUCCAAAGCCUACAUUGACCGUGAGGUAUGUAGUUCAGCCAUGCCAAAGUCUCCACAAUUUGUAGUGAGCUACAAGACCAGUCCUGGUGAAGAAGCUAGGAGAUCUUGCUCAUCUUCUUGCGCUGGCCCCACUUGCUGUGGAGGAGGCAACCUCUUCAUGCUGCAGCACCCAACAGAAAACCCUGAGUCGUCCUAUCAAGGACAUCAUCUGAAAGAGCUACAGCACAACAGAGCUGCACAACUUCACCAGCGUUCCAGGAAGCCCUUGCCCUGUUGUUGGUAGAAAAGACACCUUGAAAUCCUGAUCUCUGGAAUUCCCACCAGCUGUGGGUGGCUGGGAACAGGUCUGGCUGGCCUCGAGCCCUCCAUACCUUUACUGCAUGAACUCUACCACCAGGAGCUCCUUUUAGACAAAGGUCCUUCCUCCCAUCGGGUCCUCUAACAGAUGGAAGAGAGUUGCAAGAUCAAUGGAGACAUUCAUCAGUGGACAGAGUUCUCAUUUCCAGAUAUCGAGCAUGAAUAGCUUCAGGGCAUAGUUUAAACAUUGGCCAUCUAUUUUCUGAAAGAAGAGGACCCAGACCCACCCUAAUACUCCAGGUUAUGUCCUGUCUCAUGGACUACUACAGAAGCACUAAAACCAUCGCACACAAAAGCACCACGGGACUCCCACCAUCACCGGAGCUCUCCGCCUGCCUCUGGCGCUAGCUGUCAGAACCGCUUCAUCUGAAAUCAAGUUCUUUAGAUUUAUGCAGUAGCCAUGUUUGUCAAAGUAUUUGGCACCGGUGACAUCAUCUUUGUUGAAACGCUGGACAGCAUGAUGAGUCCCAGAUGUUAAUGCACACUGAGAGUCAGGAAAGAAUAAAAUCCAAAGAUCAACGCUAACAGCUAUGGAGGAGCGCACUCAGUUUACAUUCCAGUGUUGAUAGAUGAAGAAUACGUGGUUUUUUUCUAAGGGAUCCUAAAGCUGUUAAACCUCACAGACCAUUUAGAAGGUGAGCAAGAACAAACAAUGUGAUUAAAGGGAACUGCCAAAAACCGUACGAGUGUCAGCUGCCACCACUGCUCAUUACAUGGAUGAAGAAGUUGACUUUUAAUUUAUAGACAAUUUGAGAAAGAGUACAUGAAGACUUGAAAAGGAAGCUUUCUUUUGCUAAAAGGAAAAAGGAAAACUGUUAUUAAGAACCUCUGCUGAACUGCAUUGAUAAGUAGAUGAUGAUGUGUUGAAUCGAUGUUGAUGAAGACUAUAUUUUGGAAACUUCAGUUAGAGCCAAAGAAUGUUUCCAUUGCGAAGCAGAGGACAUAAGAUCAAAAUAGCCACUGUCUUCUUGGGCUUUACUGACUGCAAAAAUAGAAGAUCUGCUGAGUGUUGACUGGUUGUUGUCCUGAAACGUCCUGAGCUUCCACAUCCCUCUGCUCAAAGAAAUGCCAGUUCCUCCAACCGCUUCUGGUUUCCUGGGUACCUAACAACUGUUCACGUUCAGACACCCUGGAAGGGUAACCUACUUUGAAGAUUUUAUCGGCUUAUUGCCUGAAUGGGAAGCAGCUGAGUUUCAUCUCAUCCCUGUUGUGGUUAAUUCCAGGACACUGGGAAAGACCCCAGCUCUAGAUGUUGGAUUAAGAUCUUCACUUCAGCAGCUGAGACAAUCACAUUCUUGAAACUGGGAAAAAGAGUCCCGAGGGCAAAAAGAGAGGAGGUCUACCUCAUGGCAGAACAAAAAGAUUAUACAACCUUGCAAGAAGUGUUCAGUCUUGCAAGAUGAGAAUAAAAGAAGCUAUUUUCAACUGAAAAGUCUAUAGAAGAGAUUUUGGAACAAACAGGAGAAAAUCAGCAGGAUCUAAUCGUGAGGAGCAGAUUAUACUUCUCCAGAUGGAAUUCAAAUGUGAAUUUGCAGAAGUUUAACUUUGGUACCAGGGAAGUUGUUGGAGGCUGCAAACGUCUUCUUAUCACCUGGGAUGGCUUGGCUUCAAAUUGUGCCUUCCAAAGAGCAAUUUGCAACUGGCAUGGCCUACUGCCUAUAUAUUGUAAUUUAUGAAUUCAAUGGAGAACCAGAAAAUGAACCUGGUGCAAGAAGCCUGUCUUCCUUCCACAGCUGGGAAAGCAAUAGGCCUCUCCAGGGCAGGAUUCACCAAAGCAUAUACCAGACUAUUCAUGCUGAAUGUGAAGGCAAAGAAACAAUUUACUGUUUUAAAACAAAGAGCCUAUUCCUCAGGAGACACAGACUGGUAAAUGCUAUAAGCUUAAAACACAGGGGAUCAAGACCGUGAUUGUGUCCGUUUCUGUUCUGCUCAACGCUUUUUUGUGAAGACGCGUGCUAGCUUCCUUGACUGCAAUGGAAUCCAAACGCAGGCUUAAAGACCAACAGUCUGAGUGUUGCAUCAAGCUGAGAAGAACUUGUGGGUUGUUGUCCUGGGCUCAGCUGCUUGUCUUGCCUCAACCUCUUCAGCAAAAAAUGUUGCUUUUCUGCUCCUGCUUCUGGAGAGGAGCGAGGAGGAGCUGUCCUUUGGAAUGACAGAGAAGCACUUGCAGAUACCCCUCCAAGGAAGGCAUUCAUGCUCUGUGCCAACUCAUGGGCUCCCACUCACCUCCCACUGCCCACUACAGCUCCUCUGCCUCCUGCUAUGGGGCACUGCCAACCCUGCCUGUCCUUGGCCCCAUCUCUUCCUGAGCUCAGCAGGACUCAGUUCACUGGCCUGAAACAGUGGAAUAAAUCUCACCGUUUUUCCCUCAAGAGGUCUAAUCCUUCAGUUUUCAUGAAGGCAGUUUUGCUGUUGAUUUCAGCAGAAGUGGUAUCUGAAGAUGAAUGGCAGGAUAAUACCCAUCUGAAAUAUAAGUGGACAGCAGCAUCAGAUCAGAUGGGUGGUGAAAAGAGACUGAAUGGAAAAUGAUGACAGGACAGAAAUAUCCCUUCCUACCAACAUCUUCAAUGUUUUCAUUUCCAAGCAUUUGUUAAGCAGUGAAGAGGGUCUCUCUCUAUUUAAUUGAAUUUAGUGAUAAUUCUUUGGAAAAGGGAAAAGAUCCUUUCACAGCUGUAUCAACAAUAUCUUCUCUCUUAAAAGAAAACAGCAGCUGACUUGGCAUGUCAAGCAUCACGUAUUUGGCCAAGGAAGGCAAGCAUAAGCCAGACUGGCCAAUAGCACUAACUUGGAACAAUGCCACUGAAAAGUUGGUCUGUAAACUGAUGCUGCCUUUUUUUUUGGAUUCUAUGAGGGCUUGCUGAGAUUUAGCAGCAAUGCAGAACUACCACAUUCCUGGUAGAUAUUUCUUUUCUUGUUACAUGAGAUCCAUGCAUGAAGUGAAAAAGAACAAAUGAACAUCAGGUUUACAUCACCACUGAUAUGUGAAUGAUUGAUCACCCAUUAAAUCACAUACAGAGCUGGUAACAGCACACGGGGUAGUGUUAAAGUAAAAUGUUUGAUAUUCUUUACUCUAAUUAAGCAUGGAAAUAAUACGAUGCAGUCUGUAUUGUAAAUGUUAUUGCAGAUUAUAGACCUAAAGGAGAGGUGUUAUGCCACCUUUAUAGCCUCCAGUUCCUGGAGACUGUGACUUAGAGCUGCCUCAGGGCUACCCUAAAUUACACCAGUUGGUAAUGACUCCCAAAGGGCCGCUAUGCAUCCAGUGGUUGCUGGAGUGUAAAGUACUUUGGCUAUGCCAACAGCCCAUCAUUUCACGAUGGAGGCUGAGAGCAGCUGGCAUAGUGCUUGGAGAAAAUCCCCAAGUAGUGGUUUAAGACAUUUUUCGAACUCUUUUUUUGUCAUGAGAGUGAUAUAAAAUGAAGGCCAGAUUUCACAAACACACAGGGGCUUUUUCUUUAUUAUUUAAGCAUCUGUAGUCGUGAGCUGAUAAGCUGAGAGAUGAGGGUUUCUAUAGGAUUUCAGAGCAGGUAUCAACCCAUAUUGCUUCAGCUUGGCAGCGUUCCAGCUCUCUGCCCUGGCCCUGAUUCCCUGUGUGGUGCAGUGGAGCACCACUGGCUGUCAAAGGCAUACUCCUGGUUUACAUCUCUGUUAGUGAAAGGAGAACUGGAUUCCCCCUUGUAAGUGCCAGUUUUUCAAUUGAGGAUCAUAUUCCAUUCUUCGAUGGAGCUGCCAAAGAUAAAAGUUGAGUUUACACAUGUGAAAUGCUUUUGUAAAUGUAUGUGUGACUCAUUCAAUAGCUCAGCCCAUCCACACUCAAUGAGUGAUGAUUUUUCUGUGCGGUGUGUGGGUGGGUGGACCAUUCUUAAGCAAAUCUCAAAUAUCAAAAAAUCUUCUCGGAAAUUAGGGCAUAAUAUUGGCAGUUUGGGGAUUUUGUUUCGAUGUGCUGCUCACUUAAAAGCAUCCUGAAGAUAACAGCUGACUGGUAGCAGCAGAAACUCAUAACUCACAAACUGAGCUGAUGCAACCCAAAACUCAGCUGACUGUGUUUUCAAGUCUCUGAGACAACAAGCCACUGCUGAUGAUCUUACUAGAAGUUCUACGAAACAUAAUCAAAAAUAAAGUAAUUGACAGCUAUAUUACAGCUAGGAAACGUACAAACCCUUUGGGCAGCCACAGGUUGUUCUUAGAUAAAUUUACUACGGAGAAGUAAGUAUCUUUUUGUUCUAAAGAGAGCUUUUUUAAAAAAAGUCACCAAACUCUAAUAUCACUGAGGAGAAGAAUGAUUUCAUGGAGAAAUUUGUCUGGAUGUGAAUUUAUAAAGGACUUGCUCUCAUUCUGUGUGGAGGAAGAUGAGUGUAAAGACAGAGGACUGAGCUGUAACCAUCCUAAUGGGAAGAAAAACCUAGCAUUCCCUUCUCUUUUGCUCAGUUCUUUGAGCUAGCCCUGGCUAGCAGAUCUGAGUAGAGUGGCAAAAAGUCAAAAGAAGGACUGAUGAAAGAAGCUAACAUUGCAUCUUCUCUGCUCCCUGACUGUGCAUCCUUCUGUGCACAUGGAAGAGAGAUGGUCUGGCAUUUCUGUCCUCUCCCUGCAAGGCUCAAAUGGUGGUGAGGAGACUUCUUUAGUGCCCUGCACAUAUCUGCUCACAGAAUCUCCCAAAAAAGGUGAGGAAAGUGAAUCAUCAAAUGGCAGAAUAAAACAUAAUAAAAUGGUCAGAAAAAGGAGAUCAUCUGGCCCAUCGUUCUGCCUGAAGGCAGGAUUGACUUCAGAUAAGUACAUUCUGAUAGCCAUCUGUCAUUCUAUUUUUGAAUUAUUAAAAGAUUUUUAAUAGUUGUAACACCUGUUAUUAUCCUCUAAGCAAUCCAUUCCAGUGAUUAGCUAUUAUUUCUGCACCCUGGAAUAGCAUUGUUAGCUUAGAACUAUCAUGAGCCAAAUACUGGAGGUCCGUCACUUGUUAUUCUCACUUCUUCCACUGGAUCAUUUCUGGAGUUCGGAAAGAAGCCUAACUAAAAUUAGAUGACUUGCGUUCCCCAUAUCAAAGGAUCUGGGCCAUGAUUUCUGUUGAUUUCAAAGGUUUAAACUUGACAUAAUUCUUUGGAUGGCAAAGGAUUUAUUUUGUAUUUCCAUUGGAGCUGGAAUACAAUACCUGAAGACAGAAAAGUCUUUUGUUGAAAUAUAAAAGCAACUGAUUUUGUCACCUAUGUACUUUUAAAAUUUGUUCUGAAAGCAGAAAGGGAUGGAUAACUAUGUAAUUAAAGAGAGCUAAAGGAGGGACAGAAAUGAACAAAUGCCAUUAUUUUUGCCAUAGUUCUUGAGGAAGCUGAGGUAGAGGUGCAGAAAAUCUGUUACAGUGAUGCACUUUACUUAGCAUGGGAGUUCAUGCAGUGCAAAGAGCUUAAUGUGUGCAGCUGAGCUGGGCCUAAUGGGCAUCAGUUGUUAUCUGUGGAAAUGGAGUCUGUUAGAAGGAGGCUGGCUACUAUACCCGUCUGAGAUGGCUAGUGGGAUUUUCAAUGUACUAGUGACCUUUUCUUACUCAUUUUGCUGAAUUUUUAUCCAAUAAAAGCCAUCAUCUGCCCAAUCUACCCAAGUCUGUAUUGUGCAGUCUGAGCCCCUUGGUGAGGGUGUUGUGAGAAGCAGGAUGGACAGGAAGGGAAGUCAGCAAAGAUGGAACAAGGGGAGCUGCUGAAAGCCAUACGCACACAAGCAGUCCCACAUUUUUAUGUAUACUUUUAAGUAUACUUUUAUACAUACAUGCAUAUGCGCAUACGUACAAAGUGCAUUCUAUGCAGCAUUUCUCUCCCAGAAAUGUAGAAACUGCUGUGAAUCUGCCAACAGGCUUUGCGUGCUGCCUUAUGCUAGGAAAAUUCUUAAGGAAAACAAUUAUAUACCUGUUGUAAAUUGAUCUAGUUUGAUAAGAAUUUUGCUUAUUAAUUAUAUGAUUUAUAAAGCUCCCAUCGCAUGAGGAAGUUAUGGAUAAUUAUGAGUAACUAAGUAUGGAAGUUUAAAUAGCAAAAACUUAUUAUCUGUUGUUGCUGUUCCCUGUCUGUUUUGAUGAUCGCAUACCAGUUAUGUUUACACAAAAAGUCAAACUCUCCAAUACUGUAUUAAAUAAAUAAUAAGUUUAA